RNAcentral lists this ribosomal RNA (462 nucleotides) under Triticum aestivum (bread wheat). RNAcentral's name for it is "partial small subunit ribosomal RNA". Lineage: Eukaryota; Viridiplantae; Streptophyta; Magnoliopsida; Poales; Poaceae. The record is from RNAcentral.
AUGUCAUGCAAUCAUGCUUGUUCAUUUGUUGCCUCACGCAUGUUAAACAAUUGCUCUUUCCAUUGUGUUAGUCUGUUAGAGUGUAACACUCCUUACACCACCACCUUCACAACAUAUCAAUGGCUUGUCAUGCACUUGAGAUUGCCUAAUGAACCUCAUAUUCUCAUGCAGUUGAUGACACAUGUGUUUAGGCACCUCAUUAGCAACUUUGUUGUUCUUCACUUUGAUUACACCUUCCUAUAUCACAAACCUUCUGAUGAUUUCACGCACAUGCGUAGUUUUGAUGGGAUAACCACUACCUCACAUUUGCAUCCUCCUUAUCAUAAAGUUAUGUUGCUUCUGGACCAUGAGCCCAAUGCCUUUGGUUGUCCUCACAUAACAUACUUUCAUGCCAUGAAACAUUUCCUUGUCACAUCUUAUGCUAAGCAUGAUGACGACACUUGUUGCGUGAAUCACACAUGA